RNAcentral lists this transfer RNA (73 nucleotides) under Camelus bactrianus (Bactrian camel). It matches the Rfam family "tRNA". From Rfam's summary of the family: Transfer RNA (tRNA) molecules are approximately 80 nucleotides in length. Their secondary structure includes four short double-helical elements and three loops (D, anti-codon, and T loops). Further hydrogen bonds mediate the characteristic L-shaped molecular structure. tRNAs have two regions of fundamental functional importance: the anti-codon, which is responsible for specific mRNA codon recognition, and the 3' end, to which the tRNAs corresponding amino acid is attached (by aminoacyl-tRNA synthetases). tRNAs cope with the degeneracy of the genetic code in two manners: having more than one tRNA (with a specific anti-codon) for a particular amino acid; and 'wobble' base-pairing, i.e. permitting non-standard base-pairing at the 3rd anti-codon position. The record is from Rfam by way of RNAcentral. Lineage: Eukaryota; Metazoa; Chordata; Mammalia; Artiodactyla; Camelidae. RNAcentral also lists the same sequence under 1 other name.
GAGAGUGUAGCUCAGUGGUCAGAGUAAAUGCUUAGCAUGCAUGAGGUCCUGGCUUCAGUCCCCAGUACCUCCA